UACGAACUGUGCAAACGUUAUUCGGAAUCACUGGGCUUACAGGGUGCGUAGGCGGCUUGUUAAGUAGGGUGUGAAAUCCCCCGGCUCAACCGGGGAAUUGCGCCCUAAACUGGCGAGCUGGAGUGAGAUAGGGGUGUGCGGAACUUCCGGUGGAGCGGUGAAAUGUGUUGAUAUCGGAAGGAACGCCGGUGGCGAAAGCGGCACACUGGAUCUCAACUGACGCUGAGGCACGAAAGCCAGGGGAGCGAACGGG
Molecule: ribosomal RNA, 253 nt
Filed under: uncultured bacterium
Lineage: Bacteria
Description: partial 16S ribosomal RNA
Rfam family: Bacterial small subunit ribosomal RNA
Source: RNAcentral